AAAAUUAAAGGGCCGCGGUAUUUUGACCGUGCAAAGGUAGCAUAAUCACUAGUCUUUUAAUUGAAGGCUUGAAUGAAUGGUUGAACAAAGAAAUAACUGUCUUUUUUAUAAGAAUUGAAUUUAACUUUAAAGUGAGAAGGCUUUAAUUUACUAAAGGGACGAUAAGACCCUAUAAAGCGUUUUGUUGGGGUGACAUGAGUAUAAGUUAUAACUGCUUAGGUGUUUAAACAUAAGUUAAUGAGUUUGAUCCUUAAUAAAGAUUACCAGAAUAAGUUACUUUAGGGAUAACAGCGUUAUUUUUCUUGAGAGUUCAUAUCGAAAGAAAAAAUUGCGACCUCGAUGUUGAAUUAAGAUUUCUUUAUAAUGCAGCAGUUAUAAUAGAAGGUCUGUUCGACCUUUAAAUUUUU
Molecule: ribosomal RNA, 407 nt
Filed under: Lauridromia dehaani
Lineage: Eukaryota; Metazoa; Arthropoda; Malacostraca; Decapoda; Dromiidae
Description: partial 16S large subunit ribosomal RNA
Rfam family: Archaeal large subunit ribosomal RNA
Source: RNAcentral